AAAUUGAAGAGUUUGAUCAUGGCUCAGAUUGAACGCUGGCGGCAGGCCUAACACAUGCAAGUCGAACGGUAACAGGAAGCAGCUUGCUGCUUCGCUGACGAGUGGCGGACGGGUGAGUAAUGUCUGGGAAACUGCCUGAUGGAGGGGGAUAACUACUGGAAACGGUAGCUAAUACCGCAUAAUGUCGCAAGACCAAAGAGGGGGACCUUCGGGCCUCUUGCCAUCGGAUGUGCCCAGAUGGGAUUAGCUUGUUGGUGGGGUAACGGCUCACCAAGGCGACGAUCCCUAGCUGGUCUGAGAGGAUGACCAGCCACACUGGAACUGAGACACGGUCCAGACUCCUACGGGAGGCAGCAGUGGGGAAUAUUGCACAAUGGGCGCAAGCCUGAUGCAGCCAUGCCGCGUGUAUGAAGAAGGCCUUCGGGUUGU
This 429-nucleotide ribosomal RNA is filed under the name Escherichia coli. RNAcentral describes it as "bacterial SSU rRNA". It matches the Rfam family "Bacterial small subunit ribosomal RNA", at positions 1 to 426 of the family's 1533-position model. The record is from RNAcentral. Lineage: Bacteria; Pseudomonadati; Pseudomonadota; Gammaproteobacteria; Enterobacterales; Enterobacteriaceae. RNAcentral also lists the same sequence under 1 other name.